RNAcentral lists this unclassified non-coding RNA (388 nucleotides) under uncultured Bacteroidota bacterium. RNAcentral describes it as "uncultured Bacteroidetes bacterium contains 16S-23S intergenic spacer region". It matches the Rfam family "Bacterial small subunit ribosomal RNA", at positions 806 to 1193 of the family's 1533-position model. The record is from RNAcentral. Lineage: Bacteria; Pseudomonadati; Bacteroidota.
ACGAUGAAUGCUCGACGUUGCGCCAAUUGCGGCGCAGUGUCCAAGCUAACGCGUUAAGCAUUCCACCUGGGGAGUACGAUCGCAAGGUUGAAACUCAAAGGAAUUGACGGGGGCCCGCACAAGCGGUGGAGCAUGUGGCUUAAUUCGAUGCAACGCGAAGAACCUUACCCGGGCUAAAUCCGUGAUGACCGCCCCCGAAACGGGGCUUCCCUUCGGGGCAUCAUGGAAGGUGCUGCAUGGCUGUCGUCAGCUCGUGCCGUGAGGUGUUGCCUUAAGUGGCGCAACGAGCGCAACCCCUGUGGUUAGUUACCAGCACGUUGUGGUGGGGACUCUAGCCAGACUGCCUACGCAAGUAGUGAGGAAGGUGGGGAUGACGUCCGUCAGUCAA